Molecule: RNase P RNA, 468 nt
Filed under: Candidatus Melainabacteria bacterium HGW-Melainabacteria-1
Lineage: Bacteria; Bacillati; Candidatus Melainabacteria
Description: RNase P RNA component class A
Rfam family: Bacterial RNase P class A
About the family: Ribonuclease P (RNase P) is a ubiquitous endoribonuclease, found in archaea, bacteria and eukarya as well as chloroplasts and mitochondria. Its best characterised activity is the generation of mature 5'-ends of tRNAs by cleaving the 5'-leader elements of precursor-tRNAs.
Source: RNAcentral
AAAGUGGAUCAGGUGAUUGCGCGCUGACGCCGGCUUGCCGGAGCCAGUGCGAGGAAAGUCCGAGCUCCAUAGGGCAGGGUGCUGGUUAACUGCCAGUGAGGGUGACCUCAGGAAAGUGCCACAGAAAAAUACCGCCCCCACUUUUCAUACACAGGAUGCAGGAUCGUCGCCUACUUCGCAGCCCCACCACAGUUUCUUCGUCGCAGGAUCAGACUAUCUUCCCAGCACAUCCACAGUAGAUUUCUAGACGGGGGUAAGGGUGCAAAGGUGGUGUAAGAGACCACCAGCAAUUGAGUGAUCAAUUGGCUAGGUAAACCCCAUCCGGAGCAAGGCAAACAGGAGCAUGGGCGGCCCGUCCAGUCUCCGGGUAUGCUGCUUGAGACAUUCGGUAACGGAUGUCCCAGAGAGAUAAUCACCCCGCUUUCGCAAGGAAGCGGACAGAACUCGGCUUAUCGAUCCGCUUUCAUU